UUCUAGAAAGUAUAAGAGGUCCCGCCUGCCCUGUGACUAUACGUUCAACGGCCGCGGUAUUUUGACCGUGCGAAGGUAGCGCAAUCACUUGUCUCUUAAAUGGAGACCUGUAUGAAUGGCAUAACGAGGGCUUGACUGUCUCCUUUUUCAGGUCAAUGAAAUUGAUCUUCCCGUGCAGAAGCGGGAAUAAAACCAUAAGACGAGAAGACCCUAUGGAGCUUUAGACACGAAGGCAGCCCAUCUUAAAACCCCGGGUAAUCGGGCACAAGCUUAAUGGGCCCUGCCCUAAUGUCUUUGGUUGGGGCGACCGCGGAGUAGAAAAAAACCUCCGCAUGGACUGGGCAUACACUUUCCCACAGCUAAGAGCGACACCUCUAGCCAACAGUAUUUCUGACCUAAAUGAUCCGGCAACGCCGAUUAACGGACCGAGUUACCCUAGGGAUAACAGCGCAAUCCCCUUUUAGAGCCCAUAUCGACAAGGGGGUUUACGACCUCGAUGUUGGAUCAGGACAUCCUAAUGGUGCAGCCGCUAUUAAGGGUUCGUUUGUUCAACGGUUAAAGUC
Molecule: ribosomal RNA, 563 nt
Filed under: Liopropoma carmabi (candy basslet)
Lineage: Eukaryota; Metazoa; Chordata; Actinopteri; Perciformes; Serranidae
Description: partial 16S ribosomal RNA
Rfam family: Bacterial large subunit ribosomal RNA
Source: RNAcentral